GCUACUAUAUCUUAUAGUUUAAAGGCUCAGAUUCUUACUCUGGAGAAGUUUAUUUAAAACUAGUAGCC
Molecule: transfer RNA, 68 nt
Filed under: Tetrancistrum nebulosi
Lineage: Eukaryota; Metazoa; Platyhelminthes; Monogenea; Dactylogyridea; Ancyrocephalidae
Description: tRNA-Lys
Source: RNAcentral